ACGCUCGACACCUACGGGGGCAGCAGUAGGGAAUCUUCCACAAUGGACGCAAGUCUGAUGGAGCAACGCCGCGUGAGUGAAGAAGGUCUUCGGAUCGUAAAACUCUGUUGUUAGAGAAGAACACGAGUGAGAGUAACUGUUCAUUCGAUGACGGUAUCUAACCAGCAAGUCACGGCUAACUACGUGCUAGCAGCCGCGGUAAUCUGAGCGGGCUGGCAAGGC
Molecule: ribosomal RNA, 222 nt
Filed under: uncultured bacterium
Lineage: Bacteria
Description: partial 16S ribosomal RNA
Rfam family: Bacterial small subunit ribosomal RNA
Source: RNAcentral